Molecule: unclassified non-coding RNA, 500 nt
Filed under: uncultured Glomus
Lineage: Eukaryota; Fungi; Glomeromycota; Glomeromycetes; Glomerales; Glomeraceae
Description: SSU rRNA
Rfam family: Eukaryotic small subunit ribosomal RNA
Source: RNAcentral
CCAAUAGCGUAUAUUAAAGUUGUUGCAGUUAAAAAGCUCGUAGUUGAAUUUCGGGGUCAGUAGGUCGGUCGUGCCACUGGUAUGAACUGGUUUUACUGAUUCCUCCCUCUUGAAGAACUGUAAUGCCAUUAAUUUGGUGUUGCAGGGAAUCAGGACUGUUACUUUGAAAAAAUUAGAGUGUUUAAAGCAGGCUUUAGCUUGAAUACAUUAGCAUGGAAUAAUGAAAUAGGACGUUUGAUCCUAUUUUGUUGGUUUCUAGGAUUGACGUAAUGAUUAAUAGGGAUAGUUGAGGGCAUUAGUAUUCAAUUGUCAGAGGUGAAAUUCUUGGAUUUAUUGAAGACUAACUACUGCGAAAGCAUUUGCCAAGGAUGUUUUCAUUAAUCAAGAACGAAAGUUAGGGGAUCGAAGACGAUCAGAUACCGUCGUAGUCUUAACCAUAAACUAUGCCGACUAGGGAUCGGAUGAUGUUAAUUUUUUAAUGACUCAUUCGGCGCCUUACG